Molecule: ribosomal RNA, 468 nt
Filed under: uncultured bacterium
Lineage: Bacteria
Description: partial 16S ribosomal RNA
Rfam family: Bacterial small subunit ribosomal RNA
Source: RNAcentral
GACGAACGCUGGCGGCGUGCUUAACACAUGCAAGUCGAACGGAAAGGCCCUGCUUUUGUGGGGUGCUCGAGUGGCGAACGGGUGAGUAACACGUGAGUAACCUGCCCUUGACUUUGGGAUAACUUCAGGAAACUGGGGCUAAUACCGGAUAGGAGCUCCUGCGGCAUGGUGGGGGUUGGAAAGUUUCGGCGGUUGGGGAUGGACUCGCGGCUUAUCAGCUUGUUGGUGGGGUAGUGGCUUACAAAGGCUUUGACGGGUAGCAGGCCUGAGAGGGUGACCGGCCACAUUGGGACUGAGAUACGGCCCAGACUCCUACGGGAGGCAGCAGUGGGGAAUAUUGCACAAUGGGCGGAAGCCUGAUGCAGCAACGCCGCGUGCGGGAUGACGGCCUUCGGGUUGUAAACCGCUUUCGCCUGUGACGAAGCGUGAGUGACGGUAAUGGGUAAAGAAGCACCGGCUAACUACGUG